This 774-nucleotide ribosomal RNA is filed under the name uncultured Neocallimastigales. RNAcentral describes it as "partial large subunit ribosomal RNA". It matches the Rfam family "Eukaryotic large subunit ribosomal RNA", at positions 18 to 644 of the family's 3401-position model. Lineage: Eukaryota; Fungi; Neocallimastigomycota; Neocallimastigomycetes; Neocallimastigales. The record is from RNAcentral.
UCAGACGAUGCGUCAUGCAUAUCAAUAAGCGGAGGAAAAGAAGCUAACAAGGAUUCCCUUAGUAACGGCGAGUGAAGCGGGAAGAGCUCAAAUUUGAAAUCUUCAAGGUUUUACCUUGACGAAUUGUAGUUUAAAGAAGUGUUUUCUGUUGAAGUUUUGGUAAAAGUUCUUUGGAAUAGGACAUCAUAGAGGGUGAGAAUCCCGUAUUUGACCAUUACUUUCAGCUUUGUGAUACACUUUCAAAGAGUCGGAUUGUUUGGGAAUGCAGUCCAAAAUGGGUGGUAAAUUUCAUCUAAAGCUAAAUAUUGGCGAGAGACCGAUAGCGAACAAGUACCGUGAGGGAAAGAUGAAAAGAACUUUGAAAAGAGAGUUAAACAGUACGUGAAAUUGUCAAAAGGGAAGCGUUUGACACCAGUGUUGUUUUUCUGAAAAUCAAUUAAAGAACUGUUUAUGCUAAGCUGUUUAGACUUUAUCAGCUAUCUGUUUAGUUUUAGGCUUUUCUUUAAUGCACUUUUCAGUUAACAAGUCAACAUCAAUUUCUUUUGCUGUAAAAAAGCUUGAGGAAGGUGGCUUGAGAUUCGUCUUAAGUGUUUAUAGCCUCUUGCCUAUGCAGUCGGAGAGAUUGAGGUCUGCAGCGUAGAUCCUUCGGGGCUAAAUGCAUUUGUGCUAAGUUAUAGCAUUUUAUAGACAACUUGUUGACUAUGAUUUGUCUUGUAGCUUACUCGCUUAUGUUAUUUUACCUACGCUUAGGAUGUUGACUGAUAUGUAGUCGUA